This 468-nucleotide ribosomal RNA is filed under the name uncultured bacterium. RNAcentral describes it as "partial 16S ribosomal RNA". It matches the Rfam family "Bacterial small subunit ribosomal RNA", at positions 28 to 507 of the family's 1533-position model. The record is from RNAcentral.
GACGAACGCUGGCGGCGUGCUUAACACAUGCAAGUCGAACGGAAAGGCCCUGCUUUUGUGGGGUGCUCGAGUGGCGAACGGGUGAGUAACACGUGAGUAACCUGCCCUUGAUUUUGGGAUAACUUCAGGAAAGUGGGGCUAAUAUCGGAUAGGAGCUCCUGCUGCAUGGUGGGGGUUGGAAAGUUUCGGCGGUUGGGGAUGGACUCGCGGCUUAUCAGCUUGUUGGUGGGGUAGUGGCUUACCAAGGCUGUGACGGGUAGCCGGCCUGAGAGGGUGACCGGCCACAUUGGGACUGAGAUACGGCCCAGACUCCUACGGUGGGCAGCAGUGGGGAAUAUUGCACAAUGGGCGGAAGCCUGAUGCAGCAACGCCGCGUGCGGGAUGACGGCCUUCGGGUUGUAAACCGCUUUCGCCUGUGACGAAGCGUGAGUGACGGUAAUGGGUAAAGAAGCACCGGCUAACUACGUG